This 824-nucleotide ribosomal RNA is filed under the name uncultured bacterium. RNAcentral describes it as "bacterial SSU rRNA". It matches the Rfam family "Bacterial small subunit ribosomal RNA", at positions 98 to 896 of the family's 1533-position model. The record is from RNAcentral.
GCGCACGGGUGAGUAACGCGUGGGUAACCUACCCUUGAAUUGGGGAUAACUCUUCGAAAGGGGAGUUAAUACCGGAUAAUAUCCCGGAUUCUUCGGAGACCGGUAUCAAAGAAGGCCUCUGCUUGCAAGCUUUUGCUGAAGGAUGAGUCCGCGUACCAUUAGCUAGUUGGUAGGGUAACGGCCUACCAAGGUUAUGAUGGUUAGCUGGUCUGAGAGGAUGAUCAGCCACACUGGAACUGAGACACGGUCCAGACUCCUACGGGAGGCAGCAGUGAGGAAUAUUGCGCAAUGGGGGCAACCCUGACGCAGCAACGCCGCGUGAGUGAGGAAGGUUUUCGGAUUGUAAAGCUCUGUCGAGCGGAAAGAAAUGCAUUAUGGCUAAUAUCCAUAAUGCUUGACGGUACCGCUAAAGGAAGCACCGGCUAACUCCGUGCCAGCAGCCGCGGUAAUACGGGGGGUGCAAGCGUUGUUCGGUAUCAUUGGGCGUAAAGCGCGUGUAGGCGGCUUGAUAAGUCAGAUGUGAAAUCCCUGGGCUUAACCCAGGAAGUGCAUCUGAAACUGUCAGGCUAGAGUACGGGAGAGGAGAGUGGAGUUCCCGGUGUAGAGGUGAAAUUCGUAGAUAUCGGGAGGAACACCAGUGGCGAAGGCGGCUCUCUGGUCCGAUACUGACGCUGAGACGCGAAAGCGUGGGGAGCAAACAGGAUUAGAUACCCUGCUAGUCCACGCCGUAAACGAUGGGCACUAGGUGUAGGAGGUAUUGACCCCUUCUGUGCCGAAGCUAACGCAUUAAGUGCCCCCGCCUGGGGUGUACGGCCGCAAGGCUU